Molecule: transfer RNA, 87 nt
Filed under: Pseudomonadales bacterium
Lineage: Bacteria; Pseudomonadati; Pseudomonadota; Gammaproteobacteria; Pseudomonadales
Description: tRNA-Leu
Rfam family: tRNA
About the family: Transfer RNA (tRNA) molecules are approximately 80 nucleotides in length. Their secondary structure includes four short double-helical elements and three loops (D, anti-codon, and T loops). Further hydrogen bonds mediate the characteristic L-shaped molecular structure. tRNAs have two regions of fundamental functional importance: the anti-codon, which is responsible for specific mRNA codon recognition, and the 3' end, to which the tRNAs corresponding amino acid is attached (by aminoacyl-tRNA synthetases). tRNAs cope with the degeneracy of the genetic code in two manners: having more than one tRNA (with a specific anti-codon) for a particular amino acid; and 'wobble' base-pairing, i.e. permitting non-standard base-pairing at the 3rd anti-codon position.
Source: RNAcentral
GCCCGGGUGGUGAAAUUGGUAGACACGCAAGACUUAAAAUCUUGUUUCCUUUGGGAAGUGCCGGUUCGACCCCGGCCCCGGGCACCA